This is a long non-coding RNA of Cyprinus carpio carpio, 1253 nucleotides long. Lineage: Eukaryota; Metazoa; Chordata; Actinopteri; Cypriniformes; Cyprinidae. The record is from Ensembl.
UUCAGCCGAUACGGCGAGAGAGUUGGAGUGUUUGGGCGAGUACAGAGGAAAGAAGGCAGAGGAUAUUGUUGGCUGGGCAAAGACGGAGACAAGGGUUUGGCAGAAACAGACACCGGGCUGAGUAUAUUGGAAUGUCUACUUAACUGUGAAAUGCUCCAUGGACAUGUGUAACAAAUUCUGAGUGGUUGAAAACAGGAAGACUCACCGGAAGUAUCGCCGAAGGAGGCCUUUUUGACAGGGCACGUGGCAGCAGGAGAAGUAUCCAGGAGCUGGAAAGAAGAGGGAAAAGAGACCUCGUGUAGUAACGGUGUGAGUACCCUAAACCAUCGUACAGCAGUAUAAUCAUCUAGAGUGAACCAUCUGUGAGCGUUUUGUGAGUUUGUGGCAUAGUAUGUGAGCGGCCCCACCGUGGAGGAGGAUUGAGGGUGAGCCGGGACCAGUGAGCGAGAGAGGAUGUUGGGCUGUUGUGGCGGCAACGUUUAAAUCUGAAUAUUCGUGGCAUCAGUGUCUUCACGACUUCCAGGAAGAGUCUUUGGUCAGACGGGGUGUUGACCCUAAAUUCACCAGAGUGUGUGGAGUGCAGUGGGCCCGACGAAAUCCUGUGAAGGAAGUGAAUACCGAGGCGGGCGAAGAAAACAUCUCCAAUUAUAUGCCGUCGAUGACAUCCUGACCCUUCUUCCCCACGUGACGGUGGUGGGAAACAAUUUCAAAUCUCUUGACUUGUCGGUUGGUAGAAAGAAGAGGGAAGCGUUCGACCCAUCCAGUGUAGUACACCCCGGGUGAGACAACUUACCUGUGUGUGACGCCAGCGGAGGCCGUGUUCGGCCCAACGCAACAGUUUUCGAUCCGCCUCUCUGUCAGCAGUUGGUAGAAGCCUCAGAAAAGGAACGUCUGACGUCUAUUCCCUCGAAGGUCUGUGAGUUACAUCACUUCCUGUUUCCCUGUAUAUUCACCGUAAGCGUAUGCCCAAAGCUAAAGCCAGCAUAUUGUGUUGUACACUCGCCUGUAUGCCCAGAGUGAAGUCCCAGUUAUAUUGGAUGUACUUACCUUAUGCCCAAAGCUAAAGCCAGCAUAUUGUGUUGUACACUCGCCUGUCUGCCCAGAGUGAAGUCCCAGUUGUAUUGGAUGUACUUACCUUAUGCCCAAAGCUAAAGCCAACAUAUUGUGUUGUACACUCGCCUGUAUGCUCAAGUGAAACCCCAGUUGUCUUUCCUACGGACUUACUUGUGCCCCCGAGUGAAGAGCCAGCGGCC